Long non-coding RNA from Varanus komodoensis (Komodo dragon), 2526 nucleotides. RefSeq lists it as uncharacterized. Lineage: Eukaryota; Metazoa; Chordata; Lepidosauria; Squamata; Varanidae. The record is from RefSeq and is a predicted model, not a curated record. The transcript is spliced from 2 exons.
CCUGCAACGGGGACGGCACGGCCUUACCGGGACUCGGCGGGCGAGUCGCUUUGGUGCGAAGUCUGGGCACAUGCGUAAAACGCACUGAGGAAGCGCGGGGGUUCAGCUGCGGUUUUUACUCUUGCUUCUUCCUACUCCGAUUCCGGGUAGAAAGGGAGAAGUGGGGAGGAAGCGGGCGGUGCAAGAUGCAGCCUGUGGCUAAGGCAGGCGAAGAGCAUCCGCAGGUGCAUGCUUGAGCGGCAAGAAUGGAAGUUGUGGGUCUGUGACAGUGUGACACAUUUAACCAACUUUUGAGAGGGUAGUCAUAAAGCGGGGAUGACCGAAUGCGACCCAAUCUGGAUCAGGUACCCUUUCAACCACUUGUUGGACACGCAAGUUAAUGGCAUCAUCUGAAACAAGCACACUUGCAUCGUUCUUGGAAUAUAGUCAAAGAAUUCCCGCAUCCAGGGAGACUCGGCAUGUCUUCCAGAAGGAUUUGUGUGUCUACAUCAUUUCCAGAAAUAACUGUUGUGAACUAAGCAGGGUAGAAAUUAAGCCAGGUGGUCCUUCUAAUUUUAAGGAUUAAGACCCUAAGUAAUAAAUAUCUUGAUUCUACACAUUUUUUGGUUCUUCUUUGAUGAUCACACUGAUUACACUGAUUAUCAGUGUCAAGAGAUCAGGAUCCUGUGAUAAUCACACGCAGUUUUCUGAACAGCAGAAAGUCUUGAACACAACCAAAAUCACUGAAGAAAUCUUAAUACCUGUAAUGUUAUUCUUGAUCACCCAUAAUCUCAAUAGUUUUAAUGGCUCAAAACCACAAAUUACAAGGUGGGGGGGGGGUCGAAAAACUCCAGGAUCACACAAGUCAAUUUUUCCUGAAGCUAGCAACAUGGAAAAGAAUGGGGCCUUCUUAGUGAAUCAGAUCCAUGACAAUUAGUUGGAUCAGGUCCAAAAGAUGCUGAAAUUCCCUCCCUAUGGAAACCUGUGUUCAUAAUGAUAGUUUACUAAAAGAGGGAGCCAACCUGCACUUCUUGUUUUAUGCAGGUGAGGCUGUGAGAAAACUUUAAGUCACCUUUCCCCAGUCUGGUGCCUUCCAUGCUGGCUGGGUAUGGCAGGAUUUGAAGUCCAACCCAUCUGGUCAGAGCAGGCUGCUGUAAGUGUCCAAGUUUCUUUGAGGCAGUGGGGACAAAGGACCGGAGGAAGGCAUAGGUGAGCAAAUGCUGGGAACCCUAAGAUGCUUUGUCUAUUUUGCUUUCAGUUAACAUCAGCAAAGUGCAUUGUUUGUGCCACAUUUCAUUUCAGAGUUCUUAGGAGUAAAAUGACUAUAGGCAAAGACUUUCAGUAAGCUUGAGGGUCUGCGAGAAAGAUUUUUUAAAAUGAAAAGAAAGUAAGAUUGCUGUCAGAUAUUAUCAGCUGGCAUUUUUUGAAAGCUACCUGUUGCCUGUGAAUGCUUUUACACAGAGAUGUUCACACUCAUGAAAGAACUAGAGCUUAAAUUAUAAUUCUUGGUCAACUAUGAUUUCAGUAGUUUGAAGACUCAAAGCCAUGUAUUACAGAGAAGGGCACCAAAUGUGAAUGCUUUGAUAUUGGUCAAGUUCAUAUGUCGUGACAAUUCACUGUGGUAAUAAGACACAGUGGGCUCAUUGUUAACCAGGCAACUGGCAAUGUCUCUGACAGAUCAUUGGGUUCACAAUGGGGGUGUCACCCCUUUUCUCCAAUUCCUCCACCCCUCAUUCCUCCUGUGGGUAGCCAGUGGAUUUUUCUGCAAUACCAACUUAGUUUUUUAUGUUCUUGUCCAAAAAGAAAAAAAAGGUGUCUCAUCAAUACCCUGCUCUAAAAAGUACCCAGAGUUUUGACAGCUAGCUAGCUGUCAAAAUUUCUUUCCCACCCAAUAGGUUUCUAGGAUGUACUUUUGCACUCUUAGUCUGGGCCUUUGCACACUGUUUAUUUGAGGGAGACCAGCAGCAAGAAGUCACAGCAUUCCCUGGAUUCCUUGAUUGCCACUCAUUCUGUUUUGUUCAGUAUGUCCCAAUUUUGAAGCAUAAAAAGUACUUUAUGAAUUGAGGAGCAAAGCCUAGAGGAUAGGUGAAAUUUUGCUUUUUGAGGGUACAAUGUUAUGUAGAUUUGAAUGGGAAGGAGAUUUUAAAAAAUAAAUGAAAAAAAGCCUUCCUGUCUUGCUGGAACACUAAAGAAUCAACACUGUAACAUUUUGCUGUAGGUCUUCUUUGUUUUGAAUAUUUUUGUGUUAUUUGCAAAAUCUCUUCACUGCUCAUUCCUAAUUCCAGGUGAUUUAUGAUCAAGUCAUAAAGCACCAGCCCCGAUGCAGAUCCUUGGUAAAGCAUCCAUUCUUUCUUGUCCCCAUUGUGAAAACUAAUUAUGUUGGAACAUUUUGCUAUAUGUACCAGAAUGUAUGUACAGGUGGUCCCCAGUUUAUGUAUAUAUUUUACCUUUUUAUGUAUAUAAAACAUGAAACACAAACUGUUUUAAACAUGACACAGCAUUGUUAUUAUGAUAAUAAUAAAGUAAUAAAGAUGACAUCUCACCUUU